AAUACCAAAACAGCUUGUGUGUGUGUGUGUGUGUGUGUGUGUGUGUGUAUAUAUAUAUAUACACACACACACAAUGUAUGUACACACACAUACAUACAUACA
Pelobates cultripes (western spadefoot toad) is the source of this 102-nucleotide non-coding RNA. Lineage: Eukaryota; Metazoa; Chordata; Amphibia; Anura; Pelobatidae. The record is from the annotation of a GenBank genome assembly.